GAUGAACGCUGGCGGCGUGCUUAACACAUGCAAGUCGAACGUGAGAGGGGUACUUGUAUCCCUUGAAAGUGGCGGACGGGUGCGUAACACGUAGGAACCUGCCCUGGAGCGGGGGAUAACCAUGGGAAACUGUGGCUAAUACCGCAUGGGCUUGGAGUGACGGGAGAGCUUCAAGCAAAAUUCAGGUGCUCUGGGAGGGGCCUGCGGCCGAUUAGUUAGUUGGUGGGGUAAAGGCCUACCAAGGCGAUGAUCGGUAGCUGUUCUGAGAGGAAGACCAGCCACACGGGAACUGAGAGACGGUCCCGACUCCUACGGGGGGCAGCAGUGAGGAAUAUUGCACAAUGGGGGGAACCCUGAUGCAGCAACGCCGCGUGAAGGAUGAAGGCUUUCGAGUUGUAAACUUCUUUUCUGGGGGAAGAGGAAGG
RNAcentral lists this ribosomal RNA (425 nucleotides) under uncultured Chloroflexota bacterium. RNAcentral describes it as "bacterial SSU rRNA". It matches the Rfam family "Bacterial small subunit ribosomal RNA", at positions 28 to 454 of the family's 1533-position model. The record is from RNAcentral. Lineage: Bacteria; Bacillati; Chloroflexota.